UCGCCACGAGCCUCCGAGCACACGUCCUCGGCCCCGCCUUAGGCUCCUCCCUCGCCGCGAGCCUCCGAGACGCUGGGUCUCUGGUCCCGCCCUCAGGCACCGCCUUCGGCCGCCGAGAGGUGGGGGAAACACUCCGUCCUUGGCUCCGCCCCCGCGCCGCCGGCUGCUAGCCGCCCAACUGCUAGACUCCCGCGGCGAGACUUCCGGUACUCGGCUCUCGCAAAAUGGCGGCUGCGGUGGGCGCCUUUGCAGUCUCGUUUUCGUCGUUUUCAAUUCAGGAGGAAGAUACUGGUGGCCAUCUUGGGACCAUGAGAGGAGCUAGUCUUAGAAUGAUGCAGACACCAAGGAAGGCACAGCAGAGAAAAGGAAACAAACGGUCCUUGAUGACAUAUUGAGUUAUAGAAUCAAGCUUCACUUGAAGCCAUGAUUACCUGAAGCCUGUGGACUUCUCAUUCAUGAAAUGAAAUGGCAUUGUCCUGAUCACCUUGAGGAUGCGAGGAGGGGUGAAAAGAUGCAGAUCCAUGGCAGUGACAGCGAGACGAGUAUGGUCUAGGAGAACAUGAAACUUGGACAUUAAUGUCCUCCCUGUGAGCUUUCCCCAAAGGUAUCCUUUAGCUAUGGAGCUAAUCAGAAGGCCCAUCGGCAUUUCCAUGUGUAGUUUACACACCACACUGGUUUCUUGGCCGGUCCAUGGCACAAAGGGAAUUGAGUAAGACAUCACGACGUAGACAAGCUGCAACGUGAACGCCACAGAGGUGGGAAGGUCAUGGCCCACAAAGGCAGAGAUUCGGUGAAGGCCUCUGAGGUUUCACCUCAUGUCCACAGUUCUUAGUCACACAAUUUCCUUUAUGGAUCUGAACAGUAACAAACGGGCCUUAGAAAACGAAUCAGUGUGCCAGGUGGAAAAUGCCAAAAGUCAUCUUGUCUCUCCAAAGGGUUAAGCUGCUUUUCCGUUUUGUUUUUCUACCCUUUCUUUAUUCUUCAAGCCCUCUUUGCUGAAUAAUUUAAAAUUCACGGUUACAAGGGCUUCCUUUGUGCCCACAUUCCCCUGCUGAGAUCAGAUGCAGCUGACCCCACCCCAGUCAAGGCCAACUGGAUGAGGGCAGGACCCUGGCCCAAGUCUUCCUGCUGGAGAGCACGCUGUGGGAUGGCCGGGUGUGAAAAAGCCUGCUCUGCUCGAACAAGGCAGUCUGUUUCCUCCUCGUCUCAGAAGUAUGAACUGGGAAUCAUGGGGACAGGUAGGCAGUCAGUCAUACCAGAGAAAUGAGAGGAGACAGGAAUAGCCAGUUAACUGGUGGACAUAAGAGAGGAGAUGAUCCGUCUCCUGGGACUGAGGGCACAUCGUGAUUUUUCAGGUACCUAAACUGUACUGUAGUCUUUAAUAACUCUAACAGUAGCAAAGCUAACGGUAACAAUAAUAGCUAGCAUUUAUUGUGCCCUUACCAUGUGCUAAGGAUCAUUUUAGGAAUUUUACAAGUAUUCAUUCAUUCAAUUUUCACAAUGACUCUUGAUGAUGAUGAUGAUGAUGAUGAUGAUGAUGCUGAUGAUGGCACUGAAGCACAGAGAAGCUAAGUAACUUGACCAAGGCUACACAGCUCAUAAGUGGCCCAGACACAAUUUGAACUCAAAUGGCAGGGUUCCAGAGCCCAUCCAGCGUGUGCCUCCCUGUGGGGUAGUCCUGAGUAUCCUGUGUUCUUUAUUGCCCAUCCUUACAAUAAAGCUCCCCUAUUAAGGAGGCCUGACAGGGGGUCUAUUUCUUGCUCCCUAUUGCCUCACAACUAGCAUUUUUCUUGGCUCCGCUCAUUAUGAAUCUUAGUAACGUAAGCAUACAUUUAUUAAUUCAAGAACUAUUUAAUGCUUACUGUGUGCCAGGAACUACUACUGAGCUCUGGAAGCUGACGAAGAAUCCGCCCCGUUCCAGCUCUCAGGAACCUCUACUAAGUAGGGAAAGACUCGGUCUGCACACACCGCCACGCCAGAAAGAGCUUCCAGUAAUUAUACUGUAUAGUCAUACUUCUACGACCUUCUGCAGAAUCUACGGGACAUAUUGUCUUUGUAAACACACUGUGUCCUAUUUUUGAAUAAUGAUAUAUUGUAUCCUGAGCUCAUCGUUAAAAUAACGCCUCAAAAGAACAUCUUAAAUAUCACCAAAAUAGAAACAGACAGGCAAAGACGGCUUCUUGGAAGGUCUUCCCAGGAUUCUGUGUCAGUCAGGCCAAGGGGAUGGCAACACCCAUGCGCACACUGGCUGACCUAUAGGCGGCGCUGCAGUGUCCCCCAGAGCCUGAAGGUGCCUGAGAAAUACGAACCAUGGCCUCCUCCUCUGUCCGAUCAUAUUUCACUGCUGGCAACUUGUUCACGGCAUCAAUCCCCAUUCCCGCCAAGUGGGUAUUUACUUAUGUCUACGGUACUUGCAAGACGGUGCUCUCAGACACCAGGUGUCACUCUUCUCAUCUUUCCAAACUGACAGCACCAGCACGCUGCUUUGCACCUGACAGGUCUUUAACCCGUUUUAAACGACCGUUUUGUAACAGUAUUACACCAGCACCAGUCUAUUGUGGGAAAUGCUGAACUCAAAUUUAAAGGAGAGAAAUUACGUAUAAUCCUACUAGAAGUACACGUUAACUUUUUGGAAUAUUUCCUUCUGGUCUUGAUACAUAUAAAAUGUUUCAAAAUGAAGAUGAUAAAUACGCAGUUUUGAAUCCAGGUUCUGUUAGCCUUUCCUACCGCUAAAUACUCUUUGAAAACAUGAUUUUUUAAUGACUGCAUGGAAUUUCGACACCAAUUUAUUGAACAUUCUCCUAUGGCUGGUCAUUUACUUUAUUUCUUACUUUGCUUUUAUAAGUGUGCUAAUAUCAACAUCCUUAUACACAAAUUCUUGUGUUCAGUUAGGUUUAUGCAAUAGAAAAAGAAGUAUUGGAUCAAAGAGUUUGAACAAUUUAAACUCUUGAUACGCAGUGCAAAUGGUCCACGGGGAAGACUUAUACUCCCUCUGGCCUCAUGAAAGAAUGAAUGCCCCAUUCACCAUACUCUCGCCAACACCGAAUAUUACAGUUUUAGAAAAUCUUUAUCUUAAUUUGGUUUCUUCAGUGGGCCGUAACAGAGCCUACAUUUAAACCCUACGUUCCUAAGAAAAGUGCAGAUGGGUCACUUACAAACAGGAGCAAAAGAGCCUAUGGGCAACAGUCCCCACCUCAAGCCCUCGAAGCCAUAAAAUACUUUAGAAUUUUAGAAAUGGCAAGUACUUUAGAGGUCACUGAGCAAACUGUUUCAGUUUAUAAAUAAAGUAACCAAAGCUCAGAGAGAUGAAGUGACCUGGGAAACAUAUUUGAGUUCGAACUAGAAUCUAGUUGUCUGGACCCGUGGUCUUGACCCAUAAGCCAUUUCUUUAGAAUGGGCUGAUAACCUAUGGAAGCAACAAACCAUUGUUAUGAGAGUGAAAAAAUAGAAGGAAAAAUAGUAUGAGAAUAUAUUUGAAAACGAAACCGUUAUUGUUCUAAAUUGUUUUAUCUUCAUGACACCAAGUGAGAAUAAGCUGUUUUACAGACAAAGGCAAAAACUCACAUGUGAGUGUUACUCUAUUCUUAAGAUCCCUGCUUACAUCUAGAACAGAUAGUUUUUUCUCCUGGAACCAUUAAAAUAUUCAGCAUUGAUCUACCAUUCUCUCAUCGAGCCAACAUUUACUAAGAAUGUACUGUGGCCAGGCAUGGUGCCAGGUACUGGAGCAGCAGGGGGGAAAGAACCAAGCUAAUGCUGCCACCCUGGUCCAAGGCACCAUCAUCUCUCAUGGGAAGAUUGCAACAGCCUCCUAACUGGAAGGUUAUUAAAUGCUCUGGGGACGAGGAACAAAAAGCUGAGAGACCAGGCUAGAGAAGGAAGCAAGCUGUCCAUACA
Neofelis nebulosa (Clouded leopard) is the source of this 3894-nucleotide long non-coding RNA. RefSeq lists it as uncharacterized. The record is from RefSeq and is a predicted model, not a curated record. The transcript is spliced from 5 exons. NCBI's taxonomy places the organism in Eukaryota, Metazoa, Chordata, Mammalia, Carnivora, Felidae.